CGAAAGUUAGAGGAUCGAAGGCGAUCAGAUACCGCCCUAGUUCUAACCAUAAACGAUGCCAGCCAGCGAUCCGGCUGUGUUCCUCAAAUGACACGCCGGGCAGCUUCCGGGAAACCAAAGCUUUUGGGUUCCGGGGGAAGUAUGGUUGCAAAGCUGAAACUUAAAGGAAUUGACGGAGGGUCACCACCAGAAAUGGGGCUUGCGGUUCAAUUUGACUCAACGCAGCGAACCCUACCAGGCCAGGACACGGUGAGGAUUGACAGAUUAAGAGCUCUUUCUUGAUUUCGUGGGUAGUGGUGCAUGGCCGCUCUUGGCUCGUGAAGUAAUUUGUCUGCUUUAUUGUGAUAACGGGCGAGGCUCUAGCCUACUAAAUAGACGCUCGGAUCAUUCCCAGUCCGGCGUUUCUUCUUAGAGGGACUGGCGGCGUUUAGCCGCACGAGGCAGAGCAAUAGCAGGUCUGUAAUGCCCUUAGAUGUCCUGGGCCACACGCGUGCCACAUUGAAGGAAUCAUCGUGUGCUUUCCCUUUCCGACAGGAAUGGGUAACCCGUUGAACCUCUUUCGUGCUGGGGAUUGGCGAUUGCAAUUAUCCGCCAUGAACGAGGAAUUCCUAGUAAGCGUGAGUCAUCAUCUCGCGUUGAUUAGGUCCCUGGCCCUUGUCCACACCGCCCGUCGCUAUUACCGAUUGAAUGUCUUAGUGAGGACUUCGGAUUGGCUGUCGAUUUGGCUUUCGGGUCGAGCCGACGUGCCGAAAAGAUGCCCGAACUUGGUCAUUUAGAGGAAAUAAAAGUCGUAACAAGG
Molecule: ribosomal RNA, 799 nt
Filed under: Gongylidioides rimatus
Lineage: Eukaryota; Metazoa; Arthropoda; Arachnida; Araneae; Linyphiidae
Description: SSU rRNA
Rfam family: Eukaryotic small subunit ribosomal RNA
Source: RNAcentral